RNAcentral lists this ribosomal RNA (492 nucleotides) under uncultured bacterium. RNAcentral's name for it is "partial 16S ribosomal RNA". It matches the Rfam family "Bacterial small subunit ribosomal RNA", at positions 29 to 507 of the family's 1533-position model. The record is from RNAcentral.
AGUGAACGCUGGCGGUAGGCCUAACACAUGCAAGUCGAACGGCAGCACAGUAAGAGCUUGCUCUUACGGGUGGCGAGUGGCGGGCGGGUGAGGAAUACAUCGGAAUCUACUUUUUCGUGGGGGAUAACGUAGGGAAACUUACGCUAAUACCGCAUACGACCUACGGGUGAAAGCAGGGGAUCUUCGGAUCUUGCUCGAUUGAAUGACCCGAUGUCGGAUUAGCUAGUUGGCGGGGUAAAGGCCCACCAAGGCGACGAUCCGUAGCUGGUCUGAGAGGAUGAUCAGGCACACUGGAACUGAGACACGGUCCAGACUCCUACGGGAGGCAGCAGUGGGGAAUAUUGGACAAUGGGCGAAAGCCUGAUCCAGCCAUGCCGCGUGGGUGAAGAAGGUCUUCGGAUUGUAAAGCCCUUUUGUUGGGGAAGAAAAGCAGUAGGUUAAUACCUCGCUGUUCUGACGGUACCCAAAGAAUAAGCACCGGCUAACUUCGUG